This is a long non-coding RNA of Thalassophryne amazonica, 486 nucleotides long. RefSeq lists it as uncharacterized. Lineage: Eukaryota; Metazoa; Chordata; Actinopteri; Batrachoidiformes; Batrachoididae. The record is from RefSeq and is a predicted model, not a curated record. The transcript has 2 exons.
UCAGCGCUCCAGGACACGACUACAUUUCUCUUCAAGAUACAGUACCAGAGUACCUGAACAGUCCAUGUCAACAGAUCAAAUGGUUCAUGAAGAGGCAGACCAGCGGGUGAAAAGCUCCUGGAGUUUCAGGGGUACUGUUGAUGCAGUUUGGAGCUUCAUAGAUCCUCCUCUCCAUCCAGAACUGCGAAAUGUGGAAAUCCAGCGCAGACUAACGACUUCUGGCAGCAUCUUCUGGAAACAUUCUGGAGGAUAAUCCUUUGAUGACUGAUCUGGCUUUGAUCACUGACUCACUAACUUAAGUCUAUUUUCUGAGACGGAGAUUUGCUUGUAUCUACUGUAUAUGUUUGUGGUUGCUUAGUUGAUUUCAUCAAAACCCUCUUGAUAAGAUGAUGGGUUUGAUUGAGGAAAAGUUAAAAUCUUUUUUUACAAAUCAUGUCAACAGCAAUCAGCUACAAAAUAAAACAGUCAUCUGUGUUUUGAAUUUUC